GUAGUUCAUCCUGAAAUUUUGUGGAUAUAGCGCGCGAUACUUAGCUACGUUGUGUAAGUUCUGUUACAUUUCGAUAUUUGUCAAAGUGUGGUGAUUAUUCGUUAUAAUUGUACGAUUGAACGCACGGAAAAAAUUUCCGUGCUAGGGGUCUAUUGAUAUUUAAAAGAAUACUGAAAUCACAACAUUUAUCAAUAUGACGAUCAUCACAAAGGCCAUUACUGAGAAGAAGGAACAACCAUUGUUUAUUGCGGAGAAUUCAGCGGAAAAUGGUAAACGGGAUGCAGAGGCACAAUGCUUGAAGUCUGAUGUGGGAGGUCAUUAUUUUGUUUCUCGGAGAAGCAUUUAUCGCAUUCAUAUGACCGCAACAUUUUUACUGUUUCUCGUUGCAUUCAUCAUUCUGAUAAUUGGAGUCAUAGGUGGAUUAUACAUAUACAGACAAUAUGCUAAAACACAAAUGCACAGAUUUAAAACUGGAUGGUACAGCAUUCCUUAUGACAAAUCAAGCAAAAUGCCUUAUACCUUAUAUAAAGAUGCAGUACACGAUGGCUUGGUAGCAGAUUCUAAUUUAAUUAUACAAGAAUUGGGAAGUGCUACAGAACAAGAAGCUAUGGAUAUUAUGAAAAAUAUUGACUCUGGUUUGAUUAUAAAAGGUUUGAAGAAAGCUACAGAUCAGGAAGCUAUGGAUAUUGCGAAAAAUAUAGAUAAAAACUUCUUCAAGGAACGAUUUGAGAUCGAUUUGGAAAAUGAGCACUAUGAGAAAAUUGAUGUGCCAGAUUUCCGUGGUGGACGUCAAGGUCGAUUUGUACAUGAUUUUAACAUUAAUAAAACUGGCAUAAUCGAUAUUGAUGGGCAAUGUUGCUUUGUGAUGCCGCUUGAUCGUCAAGCAGUUUUACCACCGCGCAAUAUGUAUGAUCUUCUUAGAAAAAUGUAUAAUGGUUAUUACGAAGUAGAUACAGAAAUUGUGCGUAAAACAAUGAAAGUGGUUACUCCACCAAUCUCUGAUUACUCAGUUGUUGGAACAUAUAUAGCUCGUGAAUGUCAGAAUUUACCAACAUAUAUGUUGACAAAAGUAAAUUCAAAUGUUGUUAAACGUAGCAUAUCAAAUGGAGUAUUUGGACAAUUUGCAGGAAAAAAUAUCAUAGAAUUUGACAUUUUGAACUUAGAAGAUAUAAAUGCAUAUAACAAGAAAAGUCCACAAAAUUGAACAUCAGGAAUUUAUAAUUAUUUUAGAAUAUUUACCGUUGUAGAUCAAUGUAAAAAUUAUAUCCAAUCCAGCAAACUUAGGACGUUCAUUAAGUCUUCCCAUCAUUUCCUAUCUUAGCUCCAAAUCAGUAAUGCUAUAAUAAAAAUAAGAUAUGUUAGUUAUUGUACAUCUGUUUAACAUUUUAUGAGAGUUUAAUUCAGUAGCAUGCUGAUUAUAAAUGGCUGAUGCGGUUGCAGAACUAUUGCAUUUUUACAUAAACGUGCGUCAAGUACAUAUCCAACUUAAGUAACAGUGAAAUGUCAGUGGUGCUUAUUUAUAAGGUAGAACAACAUUUAUUUAUUUUUUAUGCUUAAAUUCUUUGUCGAACGGUUCUAGUAAAAUGGUAGAGAUAAUUCAUAUUAAAAUUGUUGUACAUAGUCAUACAAUCGAAUGACUAAUAAUUGUACAAACUAGCACGUUAUUUUAUAAAUCGUAUACUGAUUCUAUAAAUCACGGAUUUAAAUGUUUUUAUGAAAAAUAAUUUGCACUUUCACCCGUUUAUGAACAGUUGUAGUUUAAGAACUAAUUAAAAUACGUUUAAACGAUAUUUGUCCUUUCGUUAGAUAAUAAUAAAUGUGUUGCAGAAACACGUGUUCUAUAACACGUAUUCUGAAAGAAAUUUAGCAGUAAAAUAUGUAUUGAAAAUGAUAAAACAUGAAUAAUAAAGUUACUGUGACCAGGUCAA
Molecule: RNA transcript, 1928 nt
Organism: Bombus terrestris (buff-tailed bumblebee)
Lineage: Eukaryota; Metazoa; Arthropoda; Insecta; Hymenoptera; Apidae
Exons: 6
Source: RefSeq, a predicted model, not a curated record